RNAcentral lists this ribosomal RNA (253 nucleotides) under uncultured bacterium. Its description in RNAcentral is "partial 16S ribosomal RNA". It matches the Rfam family "Bacterial small subunit ribosomal RNA", at positions 524 to 776 of the family's 1533-position model. The record is from RNAcentral.
UACAGAGGUCCCAAGCGUUGUUCGGAUUCAUUGGGCGUAAAGGGCGCGUAGGCGGCUAGGUAAGUCCGUGGUGAAAUCCUGCAGCUUAACUGCAGAACUGCCAUGGAUACUAUUUAUCUUGAAUGUCGUGGAGGUUAGCAGAAUAUGUCAUGUAGCGGUGAAAUGCUUAGAUAUGACAUAGAAUACCCAUUGCGAAGGCAGCUAACUACGCGAUAAUUGACGCUGAUGCACGAAAGCGUGGGGAUCAAACAGG